GUGGCUGAGAGGAGAGGCGGGUGUUUUGUUCUUAUAAGGAGGAAAAGUUUCUGUGACAUCCAGGAAAUGAGUAACUGCGAAGCCCUUUAGAGCGCGGCUGAUGGAGGCCAGAAGGCGGGAGCAGGCCGGGGUGUCUCCGCCCCCGAUCGUCUAGUCGCCCACCCGGACCUCCGCUGCAAACGCAGCAAACAGCGGCGCCCAGGCCCUGGGGACCCCGAGUGCAGCCGGGCCGCGCGGUCCUCCCGCGACGGCGAGCUGGACGGAGGCUAAAGUUUUUUUCAGGGCCUGUAUAACAGUCUGCAUUGUAAACUGAUUGUUUAAAUCUACCUGAAGCAUUUGGAAUGUCUGAAGGCCAAGAGGAAGACUCAAUCUAAAGGCCCAAAAUGGCAACUCUCCCCCAAAGGAGGGACUGGAAGCAGCAUGGGAAAAAAAGAAAACAGGUCAAACACCAAAUGUGCAGAGAGCCCUCCCUGACCACCCAUUCUGAAGCUGCUGAGAAACUCCAUUC
Molecule: RNA transcript, 508 nt
Organism: Myotis lucifugus (little brown bat)
Lineage: Eukaryota; Metazoa; Chordata; Mammalia; Chiroptera; Vespertilionidae
Exons: 4
Source: RefSeq, a predicted model, not a curated record